UACAGAGGGUGCGAGCGUUAAUCGGAAUUACUGGGCGUAAAGCGCGCGUAGGCGGCUUUGCAAGUCGGGUGUGAAAUCCCCAGGCUUAACCUGGGAACUGCAUUCGAGACUGCAUUGCUAGAGUAUGGGAGAGGGAAGUGGAAUUUCCGGUGUAGCGGUGAAAUGCGUAGAUAUCGGAAGGAACAUCAGUGGCGAAGGCGGCUUCCUGGACCUGUUCUGACACUGAGGAGCGAAAGCGUGGGGAGCGAUCCGG
RNAcentral lists this ribosomal RNA (253 nucleotides) under uncultured bacterium. RNAcentral describes it as "partial 16S ribosomal RNA". It matches the Rfam family "Bacterial small subunit ribosomal RNA", at positions 524 to 776 of the family's 1533-position model. The record is from RNAcentral.